CCCCUCUCGGGAUGGCAGCUGGAGAGUUUCCAGUCCUCUACCAGUCUCGGCUCCAGGAGGGAGAGUCAAGCAGAGGCCUGUCCACCCAUUCCUAGCUUGGAUAGUAGCUAGUGAAUGGACGACAAUCUGCUACAAGU
Molecule: small nucleolar RNA, 137 nt
Organism: Ornithorhynchus anatinus (platypus)
Lineage: Eukaryota; Metazoa; Chordata; Mammalia; Monotremata; Ornithorhynchidae
Source: RefSeq, a predicted model, not a curated record